GACUGCUAGUCGUGCGCUUCAGCCAAAACGAGGCGCGGCAUACAGCUCAGUAACACGUGGCUAAUCUGCCCUUGGGACGAGAACAACCCCGGGAAACUGGGGCUAAUUCUCGAUAGGUGAAGAACUCUGGAAUGAGUCUUCGCUUAAAAAACUUCACGUUAUGCUCGUGAAGUCGCCCAAGGAUGAGGCCGCGACCGAUCAGGUUGUUGGUGAGGUAAUGGCUCACCAAGCCUUUUACCGGUGCGGGCCGUGAGAGCGGGAGCCCGGAGAUGGGCACUGAGACAAGGGCCCAGGCCCUACGGGGCGCAGCAGUCGCGAAAACUUUGCAAUACACGAAAGUGUGACAGGGCUAUCCCGAGUGCCAUCCGCUGAGGAAGGCUUUUACCCAGUAUAGAUCGCUGGGGGAAUAAGGAGAGGGCAAGUCUGGUGUCAGCCGCCGCGGUAAUACCAGCUCUCCGAGUGGUGUGGAUGUUUAUUGGGCCUAAAGCAUCCGUAGCUGGCUAAGUUAGUCCCUUGUUAAAUCCACCGAAUUAAUCGUUGGAUUGCGGGGGAUACUGCUUGGCUAGGGGACGAGAGAGGCAGACGGUAUUUCCGGGGUAGGGGUGAAAUCCUAUAAUCCCGGGAAGACCACCAGUGGCGAAGGCUGUCUGCUAGAACGCGCCCGACGGUGAGGGAUGAAAGCUGGGGGAGCGAACCGGAUUAGAUACCCGGGUAGUCCCAGCUGUAAACGAUGCAGGCUAGGUGUUUGGACGGCCACGUGCCGUUCUAGUGCCGCAGGGAAGCUGUUAAGCCUGCCGCCUGGGGAGUACGAUCGCAAGAUUGAAACUUAA
RNAcentral lists this ribosomal RNA (830 nucleotides) under uncultured crenarchaeote. RNAcentral describes it as "bacterial SSU rRNA". It matches the Rfam family "Archaeal small subunit ribosomal RNA", at positions 48 to 859 of the family's 1478-position model. Lineage: Archaea; Thermoproteati; Thermoproteota. The record is from RNAcentral.